AAUUAAAUUAGAAUUAUUUCUCAUCUCUUUAGACACUAAUAUAAGAGUUUAUUUAGUUCGCCAAUAAAAUCAAAAUAAAAUUCAUUAAUUCUUAUAGUGGUUGUUUGUUUAAUAAAAAAUCGAAUUUCGAUUCUCAUUCCAUUCUCAGAUGAAAAUGUUUCAAUCUAUCUAUGAUUCAAUCCAAUUUUAAAUUUUGAAAUGAUUUAUUCCAAAUAAACAGCUUGAAAUUCUUUCUUACAAAUAGCUCUUCCGCCUCUCCCUUCACCACUUUCUCUCUCUCUCUCUCUCUCUCUCUCAACUAAAACUCUAUUUUAAACUCCAAGAUGUCCAUUCCUAAUUAUCGAAAAUUAUUUGAUUCAUUAUUAAAUUUCUUAAUAAUAAAUUAAAUAUUUUUAUAUAAUUCAUCACAUUAUUUCUAUUUCAACACGAUAUAAUUCUUAUUUUUAUUUUUAUUUUAAUAUGAGCCAAAUAUCUCUUAAAUAUAUUUUUAUUUUCUGGAUGGACAUGUGAGUUGACUGACUUCUACCGAAUUAUUUUGAGCAGUAGUACAAACUAAAUUGAGGGCCUGUUUGGCCUAGCUUCUCGAGAAGUGAUUUCUGUAAAAGUGAUUUUGGUUUUGAGAAGUAAUUUUGGUGAAAAGUUGUAGAGCGUUUGGUUGAAUUUAGAAAAAAGUGAUUUUUCUUAAGUGAUUUUCUAAAACUGUUUGGCAAAAAAAUUUUCAUAUUUGCAUAUAUUAAUAUUUUUACUAAAUUUUAUUUUUAAAAUAAUUUAAAAUUUAAAUUUAAAUUAAAAAUUUAAAUUUAAUUAAAAGUAUAAUUUUUAAGUUUCAAACUUGUACAAAAAUAAAUUUGAAAUUUCAAAAUUUAAAAUUUAUAACUUGAAUUUUAAAAUUAAAAUUUAAAAUUUAAAAUUUAAAAUUUAAAAUUUAAAUUUCAAAUUUCAAAUUUCAAAUUUAAAUUUUCAAAUUUAAAUAUCAAAAAUUAAAAUUAAAAUUUAAAAUUUAAAAUUCAAAUUUUUAAUUUUGAAAUUAAAAUUAAAAUUAAAAUUAAAAUUAAAAUUAAAAUUAAAAUUAAAAUUAAAAUUAA
RNAcentral lists this long non-coding RNA (1085 nucleotides) under Ananas comosus (pineapple). RNAcentral's name for it is "long non-coding RNA (ACOM_LNC004978)". The record is from RNAcentral. Lineage: Eukaryota; Viridiplantae; Streptophyta; Magnoliopsida; Poales; Bromeliaceae.